This 75-nucleotide transfer RNA is filed under the name Tritrichomonas foetus. It matches the Rfam family "tRNA". Rfam says of the family: Transfer RNA (tRNA) molecules are approximately 80 nucleotides in length. Their secondary structure includes four short double-helical elements and three loops (D, anti-codon, and T loops). Further hydrogen bonds mediate the characteristic L-shaped molecular structure. tRNAs have two regions of fundamental functional importance: the anti-codon, which is responsible for specific mRNA codon recognition, and the 3' end, to which the tRNAs corresponding amino acid is attached (by aminoacyl-tRNA synthetases). tRNAs cope with the degeneracy of the genetic code in two manners: having more than one tRNA (with a specific anti-codon) for a particular amino acid; and 'wobble' base-pairing, i.e. permitting non-standard base-pairing at the 3rd anti-codon position. The record is from Rfam by way of RNAcentral. Lineage: Eukaryota; Parabasalia; Tritrichomonadida; Tritrichomonadidae.
AGUUCUGUGGACCGAGUGGUCAAAGGCAGCUGACUAAGAUUCAGUUCAUCGUGGGUUCGAAUCCCAUCAGAACUA